RNAcentral lists this ribosomal RNA (269 nucleotides) under uncultured bacterium. Its description in RNAcentral is "partial 16S ribosomal RNA". It matches the Rfam family "Bacterial small subunit ribosomal RNA", at positions 524 to 795 of the family's 1533-position model. The record is from RNAcentral.
UACGUAGGGUGCGAGCGUUAAUCGGAAUUACUGGGCGUAAAGCGUGCGCAGGCGGUUUUGUAAGCCAGAUGUGAAAUCCCCGGGCUUAACCUGGGAAUGGCAUUUGGGACUGCAAGGCUUGAGUGCGGCAGAGGAGACUGGAAUUCCUGGUGUAGCAGUGAAAUGCGUAGAUAUCAGGAGGAACACCGAUGGCGAAGGCAGGUCUCUGGGCUGACACUGACGCUCAUGCACGAAAGCGUGGGAGCAACAGGAUUAGAAACCCGUAGUGA